This 641-nucleotide long non-coding RNA is filed under the name Elaeis guineensis (African oil palm). RNAcentral's name for it is "long non-coding RNA (EGUI_LNC082249)". The record is from RNAcentral. Lineage: Eukaryota; Viridiplantae; Streptophyta; Magnoliopsida; Arecales; Arecaceae.
ACCUAAUCAGACUUGAUCUGAUUGAAUCAAAUUCAAUAAGACUUUAUCCAGACUUUAAUGCUCAAUUAAAUUGAGCUAAUUAGUAAUCAUCACUAAUUAAUCUUUUAUUAAAGAUGGAGUCCAAGUCUAGUGGGACUCUUCUCUAGAGUCUCCGUCCAGUGAGACUCUUCAGCAGAGUCCUUGUCAAGUAGGACUCUUCACCAGAGUCCUCGUUGACUGAAACUCAUCAAACUAGCCAAGUGAUCAGAGAAGAAUUUUCUAAUGUGUGUGACCUCAUAGGUUCGAACCUAAGCUGGUAGCACAGAAACUGAUUUCUGUACCAAUCGAAGUAACCAUCUAGCAAUGGCACCCGACGUCCGGAUAGGUCGAAUGUAUGCUAAGCAACACUCAAGAACCUAUUUGAAUAUAGUUACCAUAUAAUUCAUCCAUUUGAUCCAAAUGCUCAAGGUGACCUAGGAUUUAACUGCCAACCCUGAUAUGGUCAUCCACAUUGUAUUUCAAUUUUUAAAAUUCAUUACAUGGAUUAUCCCGGUCAAGAUUUUACUGAAUUGAAACACACUAAUACAUUUACUCCUACUUAUUCGGAGAGGUCAAUUCCAUCUUGACUCACACACCGACUUCACAAGUAUUUGACUAUGUCC